Molecule: transfer RNA, 69 nt
Filed under: Podarcis lilfordi (Lilford's wall lizard)
Lineage: Eukaryota; Metazoa; Chordata; Lepidosauria; Squamata; Lacertidae
Description: tRNA.Lys
Rfam family: tRNA
About the family: Transfer RNA (tRNA) molecules are approximately 80 nucleotides in length.
Source: RNAcentral
UCACUCAGUUGGCAGAGCACGAGACUUUUAAUCUCAGGGUUGUGGGUUCGAGUCCCAAAUUGGGCAAAA